GACGAACGCUGGCGGCGUGCCUAAUACAUGCAAGUAGAACGCUGAAGGAGGAGCUUGCUCUUCUGGAUGAGUUGCGAACGGGUGAGUAACGCGUAGGUAACCUGCCUGGUAGCGGGGGAUAACUAUUAGAAACGAUAGCUAAUACCGCAUAAGAGUAGAUGUUGCAUGACAUUUACUUAAAAGGUGCAAUUGCAUCACUACCAGAUGGACCUGCGUUGUAUUAGCUAGUUGGUGGGGUAACGGCUUACCAAGGCGACGAUACAUAGCCGACCUGAGAGGGGGAUCGGCCACACUGGGACUGAGACACGGCCCAGACGCCUACGGGAGGCAGCAGUAGGGCAUCUGCGGCAAUGGACGGAAGUCUGACCGAGCAACGCCGCGUGAGUGAAGAAGGUUGUCGGAUCGUAAAGCUCUGUUGUAAGAGAAGAACGAGUGUGAGAGUGGAAAGUUCACACUGUGACGGUAUCUUACCAGAAAGGGACGGCUAACUACGUG
RNAcentral lists this ribosomal RNA (495 nucleotides) under uncultured bacterium. Its description in RNAcentral is "partial 16S ribosomal RNA". It matches the Rfam family "Bacterial small subunit ribosomal RNA", at positions 28 to 507 of the family's 1533-position model. The record is from RNAcentral.